Molecule: non-coding RNA, 72 nt
Organism: Anaeramoeba ignava
Lineage: Eukaryota; Anaeramoebidae
Source: the annotation of a GenBank genome assembly
UCGGGUAUAGUACAAUGGUUAGUAUAUGAGUCUUUCACAUUCAAGAUCGGGGUUCGAUUCCCCGUACCCGAG